AUGCUGCUCACCAUCGCCGGCACAGAAGCAAUAGAGGUCUUCAACACUUUUGUGUUUGCUCAACCCGAGGACAAAGAUAACUUUGAUGAAGUCAUGAAGAAAUUUGACGAGCACUGUCUGUCAAAGAAAAACGAAACGUACGAGAGAUACGUCUUUCGCUCACGCUUACAGCAUCAGGGUGAGUCAUUUGAUACUUUUCUCACAGACCUCAAGAUCAAAGCACAGUCCUGUAAUUUUGGUGAUCUCAGAGACUCUAUGAUACGAGAUCAAAUAGUGUUUGGAACUAAUGAGAAGAAGCUCCGAGAGAAACUGUUGAGAGAAACAGAACUAACGCUGGAAAGUGCUAUAAAGAUAAGUCAAGCCAGUGAGCUAGCACGACAACAUGUACUGACUUUUAGAGAGCCUGUUCAAGGAGCAGUGCAACAAGAAAAUGAGGCAGUGAAUGCAGUGUCGAUUAAAAGAAAGCCAUGGAGUAAAUUCAAAAACAACGACAACAAAAACAGAACGUGUGACAAUGAAAUGUUCACUUGCAAGAGAUGUGGAGAGAAACACAGACCAAAACAAUGUCCCGCAUAUGGAAAAAAAUGUGCAAAAUGUAAAGGACAAAACCAUUAUGCAAAAAUGUGUCUCUCCAAGCAAAAGGGACAAAAAGUACACACUGUGCAGGAAGACACAGAUGACAGCGAUGAUCUAAGUGAAACAUUUUUCAUUAAGAUGGUGUCAUACGAAGAAGAUGUCGAUGCUCAGUCUUCAAGAAUUAAUACUGGCCAAAGUGUUAGUUCAGUCACAGAUGAUAAAUGGACUGCUCCACUGUUAGUCAAUGGGACAUUGGUAACAUUUAAAAUUGACACAGGGGCCAAAGCUAACUUGAUCAACGAGAAGGAUUUCAAGGCACUGACUGAGAAGCCUAGAAGAUUUACAGAGAAAGUCACGCCGCUGAAGGCCUACAAUAACCAGCCAAUACAAACAAAAGGUGGAUGCAGACUUAAAGUGACAGCAAAAGGCAAACAGCAUAACAUUUUGUUCACCAUUGUGCCUGAUGGACACGAGUCACUUUUAGGAGAUAAAACAUCUGAGGACUUGGGACUAGUAAAGAGGAUCUACCAGAUUAAUACUGACGCCAUGAAAGAAACAAGGCAAAAGACUGGAACACCAAGGGCAUGA
Molecule: long non-coding RNA, 1164 nt
Filed under: Oreochromis niloticus (Nile tilapia)
Lineage: Eukaryota; Metazoa; Chordata; Actinopteri; Cichliformes; Cichlidae
Description: lncRNA (ENSONIG00000041435.1)
Source: RNAcentral